GAAAAUCCUCAUCUCGGCCCCCCCUAAAAUUCUCCGGUGAUCUCAAUCAAAAUUCCACCGGAGUUGACCGCAGCCGGACUUAUUUGCUCCACUGUUUAACCGUAUACGUGUAUAUACGGUUUCUUCUGUGUUGGAUAUGGCUUCCCUGUCUACUCCAUGCCUUUAUCCUGAGAGAGGACGCAAUGGAGUAUUUUAUGCUAAUAGAUGUGUUGGCGGGAAACCUUUAUCAAAU
This 232-nucleotide unclassified non-coding RNA is filed under the name Hevea brasiliensis (rubber tree). Lineage: Eukaryota; Viridiplantae; Streptophyta; Magnoliopsida; Malpighiales; Euphorbiaceae. The record is from RNAcentral.